UACGAAGGGGGCUAGCGUUGCUCGGAAUCACUGGGCGUAAAGCGCACGUAGGCGGACUCUUAAGUCAGGGGUGAAAUCCUGGAGCUCAACUCCAGAACUGCCUUUGAUACUGAGAGCCUUGAGUUCGGGAGAGGUGAGUGGAACUGCGAGUGUAGAGGUGAAAUUCGUAGAUAUUAGGAAGAACACCAGUGGCGAAGGCGGCUCACUGGUCCGGUACUGACGCUGAGACGCGAAAGCGUGGGGAGCGAACAGG
This 253-nucleotide ribosomal RNA is filed under the name uncultured bacterium. RNAcentral's name for it is "partial 16S ribosomal RNA". It matches the Rfam family "Bacterial small subunit ribosomal RNA", at positions 524 to 776 of the family's 1533-position model. The record is from RNAcentral.